Molecule: unclassified non-coding RNA, 5679 nt
Filed under: Leishmania donovani
Lineage: Eukaryota; Euglenozoa; Kinetoplastea; Trypanosomatida; Trypanosomatidae
Description: gene:LdHU3.09.0680(CDS-product:hypothetical_prote in_conserved)
Source: RNAcentral
CCGACGAGGCCCACCAACCCCACGCCGUGGUGCGCGCGUGUGUGCGUCUGUACGCGUGUGCGCAUUGGAGAUUUGUGCCGGGGGCACGUCUCUCCGUGUCUCCCCUCCCCUCAUCACACAAGCACACACAUACACACCUCCUCCCUUCCCGCCUCUGCCACCGCGGUAGUUUGAUCAUCAUCGCUGUCGGAGGAGAGAGGGGCACCCGCGCACCUCUGUGCCCACCUGUGCCGGCUGCGCGACCGUACGUGCGUCUCUUGGCCCUCACCUCCACCCUCUUUCACCAUGGAGGACGAUUUAUCUCCCGCGCCACCCAUCGCCUCCUCGCUGCCACUGCAGCUGCUUCGGGGUUUAGGGAGCACCGAGGGUGCGAGCAGCGGGCAGGAGAACGUCGCUAGCGUCCCUUCCACGGGCGCCGGCGCCCAUGCAACCGCCGCCCCGACUCGGCUACGGCGCCGAAAACUCAGCCGCCCCUCGCCUCCACCGCCGCUUAGCAGUCUCGCUCUCUCGACUCAGAAGACAAACUUGCGGACGGCUGCUGCCCGCCUGACAUCGGCGUCCCUCUUUCCCGAGGCGCACAGUGCAGUCGCACCCGCUUCCCCUCGACCUCUGCUGACAUCAUCGAAGUCCGUUGCACCGCCCGCGCCAGUCAACGAUGGCGCAGAUGCAGAGGCGCCGCAAGCCCCAUCACUUUUUCGCUGGCACAGCAGCAGCGGCGGCGACGCCUUACCGUCGCCGCCCACCGCCGGCGCGCGCGUGCUGCCGUGGUGGAAGCGCAUCCUCGUUGACGCCGCCUACCGUCAGCGGCUCAUGCAGCUCAGCACAGAGGGCUAUCACGAAGAGUUGCGGCUGUUGCGCGAAAAGCCGGAGCUGCUGUCCUCUGGAGCAGAGAUGGAGGUGCGGAAGGUAUGGAGAGAGCGACUCUGGAUGGACGACGAACUGGAAAAGGCGGAGCUGCGUCCAUCCACGAGCGACGUUGUGCACCGACAAGAGGCGCACGGCGCGGCCGGCGGAAUCGCAGCCCUCUCCUCGCCCUUUGCACCGUACCACGUCGGCACGGCCGAGCACGCCGCGCGGCAGCGGCAAGCGGCAGCGCCGAUGAUGGAAGAGGUGGACGAAGUGGUUGUCAUGGCGCAGCAUGUCGUCUUCCGUGUUGGGCACGACGAAAUCGCGUCGCACUUCUCGGCGAAGCACCCCAACUCCAUAAUCGAUGCCUCUGCCUUGGCGAGCGUGCAGCACGUUGAACUCGGUGCCAUGCCUCCGGCCAAGCACAUGCGAGAGCAGCAGCAGCAGCAGCAGGAGCGCGCCGUCAAGCAGCACCUCGCCUCCCUCCGCCGCUUUUCGCUCGACACCCCGUACGAGCUGAAGGAGUGCCUUGCUCGCGACAUUGUCGCCGGCCGCGUCGAUGUGCCGAUGCAGACCGCCAUCACGGAUGCCGUGAUGGACGAGCAGCAGUGCUCUCUCCCCACCACGCGACGGCCUUUAUCACCGGACCUGUGUGUGUUUCCCUCUCCACGGACCGAAAAGAGCAGCGCGGCCGCGCGCCGGAGGCGACAGCACGAUGACGACCUGCCCGCACCAGCAGCUCUGAUCAUGUGGCAGCUGCCGCUGCGCAAGCCGAAGAUGCCAACGACGCCGCUAUGGCAGCGCCCCUGGCUGCCGCCGGGUGCGUGGGCCGUCGAGAUGGCGCACUGCGAUGUGACACGUGCAGAGGCCCUGAUUCGCGCCUCCGCCGUCCGCGACCCGCUCGCCGUGGAAAAGCGGACGGCGGCCAUCAAAGACAGUAUAGAAGUGCCAAGGCACCACCAAGGCAGACCCAGAUCUACGGGCGUGACGACGGCAGCCACUGACGGCGAGCAGCACCGCCACAACGUUCGGGUUCGCAGGCAAGAAGCCGCAGUGGCGUGCACAGAUGGCACGGAGAACCUGUACGGGCUCCAGUACGUCUGGCGGUCACCUCUGCCACCGGGAGGGUUCAUUCGCGUCUCUCCUGAUCCGCGCAUUGCCAUGUGGCCCGACUCGGAGGACGAGGACAGCGACGAUGGCGCACUUGACAAAAUGGAAAAGUACGACAACUCGCAGGCACGUGGGGUGCACGCGGGCGAUGGUGGUGGUAUCCGUGAAGGCGUUCGCCGCAGCAUCUCCAAAGUCUCGACGGGCACCUCUCAGCACCAUGGCCGCCAAGCGCAGAUGCGCCGCCUCGCACGCUGUGUCAACCGCCGAACGCACAAGUUGCGCUGGCUACACAGCAUUGGCCGCCGUCAUGUGUGCUACAAGGAUCUGGCCCUCUCCGACUCAGACAACUCAACAGGCGCCGCCUCGGCAUCGUCUUCCUCCUCGUCACAGUGCACGUCACCGACAGUUUCGGCGCUGCGCGACAUUCAUGUUGCAGUCGAGGUCAAGAAAGCAAGUAAGAGGGCGGCGCGUCUGCCGCUGCUCCAUGGCAACGGCAAAGCCCGUCGACGCCAGCGGCGGAGGCAGGAAGGCGUCGACGACACCUCGCGAGGGCCGCGACCCGUGUACGACGGCGUGUUGAACAUCAACAUCUACGCCGAGAUUGUCGACAGCCAAUGUCGGAACGCCAGCGUUGUUGGCACGUCGCCUCUGCGAGCGAAGUCACAACAACACGGCCAGCAGGCGAGCAAUGCAGCCACGACGACGCGCCGCUUCCUCGGGUGCUACCGGCAGAGUCGCCUGCUCAUUCACUUCAAGCUGUACUGCCGGGCGUUGUACGAGGAGCAACGGGUGCGCCGCGGCGGUGCUGGCACUCACGUAAUUGGACGUGCCGGCGGAAGCGCGCCAGAGUACACGCCGGCAACGGAAGGACUGCUUGCCGGGGUGCCGGCCAUCCCGCACCCGGUGCUGAAGCUGCAAGAGCACGCGCCGUCACUGCGUAAGUCCUACGCCCAUCGCAUCCCCGUUGCGUCGACCAUGAGCGGCUGUCGCUGCUGGGAAGGUCUGUACCCGGCCCUCGGCACCAAUCUGGCCACUCCGGUUCAACAGGCGUGGCGGCAGCUGCAGCGGUCCAGCCUGGUGCGUCAGGCCCUGCGCGACAUCUAUGACGAGCUUCCACAUGACAAGGAGGGCCUCCUGGACAAGCGGACGUUCGUGCUGUUUGUGCUGCAGCUGCUCGAGCUCUUCUUUCCCACCCGCCUCCCCGCGGCGGCCCACAUCGCCAUCGCGGAGGAAGAAUGGGUGUACCGCGGCACAACGGAGCACGUUGGGCCGAAAACCUUUCACGAGAAGUUCUUCGUCUUUCCGUUCAUAUUUUACCGCGACAUCGCCGCCGUGACGGAGGCGCAGCUUGUCGAGUUCUGGACUCUCGUCCGCGUCUGCUUUGAUGCGCAGAGGAGGACGCGGGAGAAGGCGGCGGCGAUGAGCGCAGCGGUGCGUGGGCGGUCGUCGUCGCUGGCAGGAAACAGCGGCGAUGCGCCGCGACCUCCCCUGCUCUCUCUUCUGACGCCGCUGACGCUUUUCACGGCGGAGCAGCUGGACGUACUGCUCUCGCGCCCGCCACCCGCGUUUGACGUGGACGUGUACGAUCGAUACUGCUUGCUCCGCCAAGCCUUCCGUGAGGAUCCCAAAGUGCGUGCGGCCCCACGCGGCCAUCAGUACGUUGUUGCGCGCAGUGUGGUGGAGGCGCAGCAGCAGAAACGCCCACGCGCUAGCAACUGGGCGGCACAGAAAGGGAACCCCGCACACAAGAUGUCAGCGCCGCUGACGGCGUGUCGGACGCAGCUCUGCUCGGCAGACGUGAAGCGGCGCGCGGAAGUUGCGGCGGCGGCACAGCGGGAGCGAGAAUCACGUCAGCGCAGCCUGGAGGCACAGGAGCACAAGGCGCUGCUCGAACAGUCGGACUACUAUCAAGCGCGCAUCGGCCGUAUUCAAUCACGCGCCGCAACCGUGAUUUCGGGCAUUGAGAGCACCUGCAGCACCUGGGAGCUACACCGCACCGAGGCGUACGCCCCUCCGCAGAAGGACGAAAACGCCGACGCGCGGCUGCAGGUAAAAGAGGACGUGGAAGAGCUUCUCCUCGAGUACCUCGACGACGUGCCGCUUGACGUCUUCGACGGGCCGGUGUCGCUGCGUGAACGCUACCUCCUCCACGCCGGCCUCCGGCAAGAGCGACUUAAUCGCACCUUUUCCCCGCUGCAGCCGCCUCCCGCGCCCGCCCCCUCCGUCGCACCCGCGGAUGACGGCUGCAGCGCUGCGCUACCGCCAGUGAACCCCGUAGCGCGAGCCACGCCGUCUUGCCGACCUGUGAAGGCGGAUGAUGUGGCGCUGCAGUACAUGGCGGUGAUGACAGGUGGCCUUGGCGCAACGCAGCGGCGCAUCGCUGUCUCAGAGGAGAUGAGACCCUUGCUUGAUGGCACGAGUGAUGUCAGCGGCGGCGCUGUCAUUACGCCCCCUACCACGUCCUACGUCGCAGGUAUGUACCCUCUACGGGCCGUGCGGCGAACGGUGAGCUCGGUGCUGUGCCCGUCGCGAGUGCCUAGCCGCAGGAGAAGCAUCCUGAACAGGAGCAGUGAGGCAAGCCUAUCGGGAGCGUGCACAACAUUCUGUUCGGUCUUGGGUGUCGAGGACGACGGCAGGAUCGGUGCGGCCUCGACGUUCUCGUCCUUCUACACCGCCGCCUGCGCCCCACAUGCGCAGCUCACACGCGGCGUUCAGCGCAAAGGCGUUGCCGCGAGCGCCAGCGCGUGUGGCGUGAGCGGGCGGUAUCCUGGGAAAGAUGAGGAUGCUAUGAUGGAGGCCAUGGCGAGCAGCGCGUCUCUCACCGGCGUGCGCAACAAGUCCUGUUACCGAAAACCUGCUGCGGUACAGCUACGCCAACUUUCGCGUCCAGCCACGCCAGCCGUGUCGGCCACACCGUUUGUCCCUGUAUCGCCGUUGCUGAGGCCGCGCGACGGCGGCGUGUCCAUCCUCUGCGGCCUGAACUCGGUAGCGACCAUGCCGGCAAGCACCCAACGCGGCACAUCGCCACUGCCGCAGCAUCAGCAACUGCUCACGUCCGCCAAGGCCUCAUCAACCGCGGCACUCGAAACGGCGUGGACGUCGUCGGUCAUGCUUGUAGAUCUAGGUGAAGAGGUCACAAACGCAUCGCCGGGGUCUGCUCCUCGGGUCUCGCAGCAGGGCUCGACGGUGGUGCACCACGUCGGCGCUCGGCCACCGCACCCGCCGGCAUUGUCCACUGUGCAUGCGCCAGCGCCGUCAGCAUCGCUACAUUAUGCUCAGCGUCUGCGCGCGCAGAAGCGUCGCCAGGAGCAGUACAAGCGGCAGUUCAACAACGCCGCCAAAACCGCAGCAGGAGUGGCCUGUAAGCAUUGAAUCCAGGUGAGAGGAAAGGAAAGGAGGAGGAGAGUGAGGGAGCUCACGAUGCACACACGCACGCCGCAGCGAUGGGGGAGGCGGUGUUACGCGUUUAUGUAUGUGCGCGUAAGACCUACUUGUGCAUCGUGCCGCCUGCUGCCCUCUCCCCACCCUACCCCUCUCCUCUGCAGCACACUCGCUUGAUUACUAAACAUAUGUAUGUGCACACAGACACACACACACACACACCUUUUCCGUCGGUGUGCCGACCAUAAGCCCGCGCAUGUACAGUAUGUUCGCUUUCCUUUUUCUUUUCGCCUGUCGUCUGCGUUGUUGCUCCUCCUUUCCUAUGUCACCUCUGUGGAAGCC